AGUUUUAUUCUUGCUUAAAUAUUUAUUAUAUGGAAUAAUUACAUGUAAGUUGUUGCGUGAUUAAAAUUAGUUCUAAAUGGUAUUAAUUUAUUCGCAGUAUUUGGAUUUAUAAAUUAGGGAAACUUAGAUUUAGGUAUUUAUUAUGUGAUUGGCUAAAGUCGUGCCAGCAGCCGCGGUUAUACGUAGGAUUGAAAUAAAUUUUAUUAGUGGAAAGUUAGUUUGUUUAUGUAAAAUUAUGAGGUUGUUUUAUGAAGGUGGAAUUUAUAAAAUGGGAAUGAAUUGAUUUAUUGAAUGAGGCUUUGAAAUUUUUAAGAUAAACUAGGAUUAGAUACCCUAUUAUUAAAAAUGUAAAUGUAAUAAGCUUGAGUAGUAUUAGGUACGUUCUUGAAACUUAAAGAAUUUGGCGGUGUUUUAGUCUUUUCAGAGGAAUCUGUCCUAUAAUCGACAAUACACGAUAUAAGUCACUUAAUUUUGUAAAUCAGUAUGUAUAUCGCCGUCAUUAUUUAUUCUUUUAGGAUAAAAUUUAUGUAAUUUUAUUAUUAAAAAAUAUGUCAGGUCAAGGUGCAGCUAAUGGUUAAGUAAGAGAUGGAUUACAAUAACAUAAUUUAAAUGGAUUUUACAUUGAGAAGUAUGUUUAUGAAGGUGGAUUUGAAAGUAAUAUUGUUAUAUUAUGAUAAUAUGAUUGUAGCUCUAAAACGUGUACACAUCGCCCGUCGCUCUCAUUAUUAAGGUGAGAUAAGUCGUAACACAGUAGAUGUACUGGAAAGUGUGUCUAGGAUGA
Molecule: non-coding RNA, 781 nt
Filed under: Hexacentrus unicolor
Lineage: Eukaryota; Metazoa; Arthropoda; Insecta; Orthoptera; Tettigoniidae
Source: RNAcentral